Molecule: ribosomal RNA, 415 nt
Filed under: uncultured bacterium
Lineage: Bacteria
Description: bacterial SSU rRNA
Rfam family: Bacterial small subunit ribosomal RNA
Source: RNAcentral
UAAGGAAUAUUGGUCAAUGGAGGCAACUCUGAACCAGCCAUGCCGCGUGAAGGAUUAAGGCCCUCUGGGUUGUAAACUUCUUUUAUAUGGGAAGAAAUGUUCUGAUUCUUCAGAGCUUGACGGUACCAUAGGAAUAAGCACCGGCUAACUCCGUGCCAGCAGCCGCGGUAAUACGGAGGGUGCAAGCGUUAUCCGGAUUCACUGGGUUUAACGGGUGCGUAGGUGGGCAGAUAAGUCAGUGGUGAAAUCUUCCGGCUUAACCGGAAAAUUGCCGUCGAUACUAUAGGUCUUGAAUUAUCUGGAGGUAAGCGGAAUAUGUCAUGUAGCGGUGAAAUGCUUAGAUAUGACAUAGAACACCAAUUGCGAAGGCAGCUUACUACAUAUAAAUUGACGCUGAGGCACGAAAGCGUGGGGA